Ornithorhynchus anatinus (platypus) is the source of this 138-nucleotide non-coding RNA. The record is from Rfam. NCBI's taxonomy places the organism in Eukaryota, Metazoa, Chordata, Mammalia, Monotremata, Ornithorhynchidae.
CUCCUCCCAGGGUCGUACCUGGAGAGUUUCCAGUAUUCCACCAGUCUCAGCUAUUGGAGGGAGAGUCAAGCAGAGGCCUACCCAUUCCAUUCCUAGUUUGGGAAUUGGCUAGCGAGUGCAAGACAAUCUGCUACAAGG